CAAUUUCUUUUUCCGCCGGUGGGUGCUCAUCACAACCUCAAGCUUUACUUCGCAACGCCAGGUGCUCUAGAGUCUGGAGCGCUCAAAGGCUUUGAAGAGGUGGAAAGUGGCGCAGUCACGUUUUCGUGUGAAUUGUGAAGUUAAAGGCAGAUCACCGUGCAACUUGGUGAAGUCAUGUGUCUUUCCAGAUGGCCAAAUAUGUACCCCUCUAAAAAACUUUAUUAAAUGCCAUGAUAGACAAGAUGAGCCUUAAGAGGAGAUUUGGGAAGAUGCUGUUUCAUAAGUCUUUGCUUUGCCAGAUUAUCUGUGGUUGGGGUGUCUGCCAACGUGAUGCCUUGCUGGUCUGGUUUGAGUUUGAAGUCUCUCACAGACAGUCCAGAAGGUCUGGAGUCCAUCUUAGCUUUCAUUGAUGCUGUCAUCAUUUUUUAAGUGCAUGAGCCAGAAUGGACGGGUGGUGGUGGCCAUAAGAAGACUGUCAACUAAACUAGGGUGACCAUACGUGCCAUUCUUCCCGGACCCGUCCUGUCCAGUCUUUUGGAACUCGUAUUUGUCGACCGCAUACGUCACAGCCCAGCAAACAGGGGACGUCCUCCGGAC
This is a long non-coding RNA of Paramisgurnus dabryanus, 597 nucleotides long. RefSeq lists it as uncharacterized. Lineage: Eukaryota; Metazoa; Chordata; Actinopteri; Cypriniformes; Cobitidae. The record is from RefSeq and is a predicted model, not a curated record.